CCCCAGACUCCUACGGGAGGCAGCAGUGGGGAAUAUUGCACAAUGGGGGAAACCCUGAUGCAGCGACGCCGCGUGAGUGAAGAAGUAUUUCGGUAUGUAAAGCUCUAUCAGCAGGGAAGAAGUUGACGGUACCUGAGUAAGAAGCCCCGGCUAACUACGUGCCAGCAGCCGCGGUAAUACGUAGGGGGCAAGCGUUAUCCGGAUUUACUGGGUGUAAAGGGAGCGUAGACGGCAGUGCAAGUCUGAAGUGAAAGCCCCGGGCUUAACCCGGGAAUUGCUUUGGAAACUGUACGGCUGGAGUGCUGGAGAGGUAAGCGGAAUUCCUAGUGUAGCGGUGAAAUGCGUAGAUAUUAGGAGGAACACCAGUGGCGAAGGCGGCUUACUGGACAGUAACUGACGUUGAGGCUCGAAAGCGUGGGGAGCAAACAGGAUUAGAUACCCCGGUAGCC
Molecule: ribosomal RNA, 449 nt
Filed under: uncultured bacterium
Lineage: Bacteria
Description: bacterial SSU rRNA
Rfam family: Bacterial small subunit ribosomal RNA
Source: RNAcentral